This 434-nucleotide long non-coding RNA is filed under the name Callithrix jacchus (white-tufted-ear marmoset). Its description in RNAcentral is "lncRNA (ENSCJAG00000075684.1)". Lineage: Eukaryota; Metazoa; Chordata; Mammalia; Primates; Cebidae. The record is from RNAcentral.
GUAAUCAGAGUAAAAAGAUACAACAUUUAAGUAGAUCAAAACUACGAGGCAUCUAGUGUUGCCUAGGAAAGAAACAGGUGUCACUGGUGACAUAUUGCAAUCCUAUUGCACAAAUUCUGCAAGAGAACACCCACAAUCGACAUGUUACUGUGUUUGCCAAAUCUGCAUUAUUCUGGGAAUCAGAAAAUCUGGAGCGAUUGCAGCUAAGAUAUUUAAUGGAAAUCUGGAAAUCUCUAUAUUUAUAUUGGAAUUCUCAUAUAUGCAGACUAAGAUGAUAUGAUCAGAUCGAAACUACUGCGUUUAAAGUGAUCUUGCUGCUGAUCUCUGUGGGCUCUCAACCUGAUGAUGUGCAUUCAGUACAACAUAGAGGAAAGAAGCAAGGUUAGUGCUUUUAGUAUCUUAAGUGUUUUUGGUGUCAUCUCGACUAUUUUCUG